UUUUAAAAAAUCUCCUUAGCC
Caenorhabditis elegans is the source of this 21-nucleotide non-coding RNA. The record is from Ensembl. NCBI's taxonomy places the organism in Eukaryota, Metazoa, Nematoda, Chromadorea, Rhabditida, Rhabditidae.